This 595-nucleotide ribosomal RNA is filed under the name Stephanonectria keithii. RNAcentral's name for it is "eukaryotic LSU rRNA". It matches the Rfam family "Eukaryotic large subunit ribosomal RNA", at positions 1 to 610 of the family's 3401-position model. Lineage: Eukaryota; Fungi; Ascomycota; Sordariomycetes; Hypocreales; Nectriaceae. The record is from RNAcentral.
UUGACCUCAGAUCAGGUAGGAAUACCCGCUGAACUUAAGCAUAUCAAUAAGCGGAGGAAAAGAAACAACCAGGGAUUGCCCCAGUAACGGCGAGUGAAGCGGCAACAGCUCAAAUUUGAAAUCUGGCCCCAGGCCCGAGUUGUAAUUUGCAGAGGAUGUUUCUGGCGACGCGCCUUCCGAGUUCCCUGGAACGGGACGCCAUAGAGGGUGAGAGCCCCGUACGGUUGGAUGCCUAGCCUCUGUGAAACUCCUUCGACGAGUCGAGUAGUUUGGGAAUGCUGCUCUAAAUGGGAGGUAUACGUCUUCUAAAGCUAAAUAUUGGCCAGAGACCGAUAGCGCACAAGUAGAGUGAUCGAAAGAUGAAAAGCACUUUGAAAAGAGGGUUAAAUAGUACGUGAAAUUGUUGAAAGGGAAGCACUCAUGACCAGACUUGGGCAGGUUGAUCAUCCGUCGUUCUCGGCGGUGCACUCUGCCUGCCCAGGCCAGCAUCAGUUCGCUUCGGGGGAUAAAGGUUUCGGGAAUGUGGCUCCCUCGGGAGUGUUAUAGCCCGUUGCGCAAUACCCUGGGGUGGACUGAGGUUCGCGCUUCUGCAAGG